This 492-nucleotide ribosomal RNA is filed under the name uncultured bacterium. Its description in RNAcentral is "partial 16S ribosomal RNA". It matches the Rfam family "Bacterial small subunit ribosomal RNA", at positions 29 to 507 of the family's 1533-position model. The record is from RNAcentral.
AGUGAACGCUGGCGGUAGGCCUAACACAUGCAAGUCGAACGGCAGCACAGUAAGAGCUUGCUCUUACGGGUGGCGAGUGGCGGACGGGUGAGGAAUACAUCGGAAUCUACUUUUUCGUGGGGGAUAACGUAGGGAAACUUACGCUAAUACCGCAUACGUCCUACGGGUGAAAGCAGGGGAGCUUCGGACCUUGCGCGACUGAAUGAGCCGAUGCCGGAUUAGCUAGUUGGCGGGGUAAAGGCCCACCAAGGCGACGAUCCGUAGCUGGUCUGAGAGGAUGAUCAGCCACACUGGAACUGAGACACGGUCCAGACUCCUACGGGAGGCAGCAGUGGGGAAUAUUGGGCAAUGGGCGCAAGCCUGAUCCAGCCAUACCGCGUGAGUGAAGAAGGCCUUCGGGUUGUAAAGCCCUUUUGUUGGGAAAGAAAAGCAGCAGGUUAAUACCCCGCUGUUCUGACGGUACCCAAAGAGUAAGCACCGGCUAACUUCGUG